GACGAACGCUGGCGGCGUGCUUAACACAUGCAAGUCGAACGGAAAGGCCCUGCUUUUGUGGUGUUCUCGAGUGGCGAACGGGUGAGUAACACGUGUGUAACCUGCCCCUGUCUUUGGGAUAACUUCAGGAAACUGGGGCUAAUACCGGAUAGGAUCUCCUGCUGCAUGGUGUGGGUUGGAAAGUUUCGGCGGUUGGGGAUGGACUCGCGGCUUAUCAGCUUGUUGGUGGGGUAGUGGCUUACCAAGGCUUUGACGGGUAGCCGGCCUGGGAGGGUGACCGGCCACAUUGGGACUGAGAUACGGCCCAGACUCCUACGGGAGGCAGCAGUGGGGAAUAUUGCACAAUGGGCGGAAGCCUGAUGCAGCAACGCCGCGUGCGGGAUGACGGCCUUCGGGUUGUAAACCGCUUUCGCCUGUGACGAAGCGUGAGUGACGGUAAUGGGUAAAGAAGCACCGGCUAACUACGUG
Molecule: ribosomal RNA, 468 nt
Filed under: uncultured bacterium
Lineage: Bacteria
Description: partial 16S ribosomal RNA
Rfam family: Bacterial small subunit ribosomal RNA
Source: RNAcentral